GAGUGCGUAAUAGCUCACUGGUCGAGGGUUUCGGCGCCGAUAAUGAUCGGGAAUAAGCAAUGUACCGAAGCUGCGGGCUGCGUAAGCAGCGGUAGGAGAGCGUUCCUGUCAGCAGAGAAGGCGUCCCGAAAGGGUCGCUGGAGCGUCAGGAAGUGAAUAUGCCGGGUUGAGUAACGAUAAAGCAGGUGAAAAUCCUGCUCGCCGAAAAUCUAAGGUUUCCUGGGGAAGGUAAAUCCGCCCAGGGUCAGCCGGGACCUAAGGUGAGGCCGAAAGGCGUAGCCGAUGGACGGCAGGUUAACAUUCCUGCGCUACUGUGGAGAUCAAUCAUGAGUGCGGAUCGGUCAGCCCUGCGUAAGCACCAGCUUGCUGAGGCCCUUGAGGCCGCUGCAGGGGGCUCCGGUCCCGAGAAAAGCUCAUGUGGCAAAGCAGUACCCGUACCAAAACCGACACAGGUAGAUGAGGUGAAUAACCUAAGGCGCUCGAGAUAACGGAAGUGAAGGAACUAGGCAAAUUGACCCCGUAAGUUCGCGAUAAGGGGGCCCUACCCCUCGGGGAGGGCGCAGAGAAAAGGCUCUGGCGACUGUUUAUCAAAAACACAGCACUGUGCUAACUCGUAAGAGGACGUAUACAGUGUGACGCCUGCCCAAUGCCGGAAUGUCACGGAAGCGGGUUAGCUUCGGCGAAGCUCGUAACCUAAGCACCGGUCAAUGGCGGCCGUAACUAUGACGGUCCUAAGGUAGCGAAGUUCCUUGUCGGGUAAGUUCCGACCUGCACGAAUGGCGUAACGACUUCCCCACUGUCUCCAGUACAUGCUCAGCGAAAUUGAAUUCUCCGUGAAGAUGCGGAGUACCCGCGGUUAGACGGAAAGACCCCGUGCACCUUUACUGCAGCUUCAGAGUGGCAUUAGGAAAGAACUGUGUAGCAUAGGUGGGAGGCUUUGAAGCGACGGCGCCAGCUGUCGUGGAGCCAUAGGUGAAAUACCACCCUGUUGUUUUCUGAUGUCUAACCACGCACCGUUAUCCGGUGCUGGGACCCUCUGUGGCGGGUAGUUUGACUGGGGCGGUCGCCUCC
RNAcentral lists this ribosomal RNA (1071 nucleotides) under Acrochaetium luxurians. Its description in RNAcentral is "bacterial LSU rRNA". It matches the Rfam family "Bacterial large subunit ribosomal RNA", at positions 1128 to 2290 of the family's 2925-position model. The record is from RNAcentral. Lineage: Eukaryota; Rhodophyta; Florideophyceae; Acrochaetiales; Acrochaetiaceae.